Molecule: ribosomal RNA, 117 nt
Filed under: Pteropus alecto (black flying fox)
Lineage: Eukaryota; Metazoa; Chordata; Mammalia; Chiroptera; Pteropodidae
Source: RNAcentral
GUCUAUGUCCAUGCUACCCUGAACAGAUGAUUCCAUCUGAUCUCAGAAGCUAACCAGGGUUGGGCGUGGUUUGUACUUGGAUGGGAGACCACCUAGAAAGACCAGGUCCUGUAGGUG